RNAcentral lists this long non-coding RNA (5743 nucleotides) under Manihot esculenta (cassava). RNAcentral describes it as "long non-coding RNA (MESC_LNC002646)". The record is from RNAcentral. Lineage: Eukaryota; Viridiplantae; Streptophyta; Magnoliopsida; Malpighiales; Euphorbiaceae.
AUUGAUAAGAAUGAAAUCGAGCUUGAUGUAGAUCGGGUCGACGCUUCUCUUUGUUGCUUGGUUCAGUCGUUUUUAACGUUCACUGGUAGGUCGCUUUCAAAUUUCACUAAGAAGUAUGAACUCACUGCGCGAUCAUCCUAUUUGGGAAAUCCAAGAGAACACGCAUAUGACGAGUGGAUUUAAAGCUGCAACGUAAUCAUAGAAAUCAUAUCGCCUAAAGAUCAAAUUCCACUAAGAAAAUAUCUGCUUGGUUCACUGCAUCCAAUUAUCGCUUACAUUCGCCCUCACAAGCAGAGUAUUUUCAGACAUUCUAUUAUAACUGAUUUGAUAAUAUAUAAUCGGUUCGAAAUAAUUUAGAAUUUAAAAAUUAAUAUCCCUGAUUUAUUUAGAUUUGUAUUCAAAUGUAUUCAUUAUUAAUUAAUUUAAUAUUAAAUAUAGUUUUAUAAUAAUAUCUAUAAACUUUUUACAUAUAUAAUUUAACUACUUUUUAUAAAUAUUAAUUUUUUAAAUGAAAAUUAUUACUUAAAAUAUAAUUUUAUAAUUAAAAUAUAUAAAAUUAAAAAUGUUUGGAUAUUAAUUGAUUAAUAAUAAUUAAAAAUAGUAUAUGUUUAUAAUAAAUUUUAAUUAAAUUUAAAAUAAAUUUAAAUAUUAAAAAUAUUAAUGGAUUUUGAGUUCGAGUAAUUUACUCUAACCGUUAAUAUUCUUAGUGUUAUUAGAGCAAAAUCUACUAUUGAUCUAGUAGAGAGAGGAUGGAUAGAUUGGUGGAAUGGUAUAUGAUAAAUCUUUUUUUCCUCUUUCUCCAUGAUAGAUCUAGUUUUUUUUUGGUCUAUCAUAUGAGUCCAUCAAAUGGAUCUCUCGAUAUUCUAUUUGACGAAAGGACCUGUAAUACAGGGAAAAAUGGUUAGGGUCUACCGGGGAUGCCUCCGGCGGAGACCCUCCUAUGUCCGAGUUAGAUUUAUGAUAUAAUAUUUCAUGGAUAGGCCCGAGUUUUAGAGAAAAUAUGGAGACCCUCCAGAGGAAGAAGAAGAGAAGAGAAGAGAAGAGAGAUCCCUGUCUGUGUCCUUCAGGCCCGUACGUACGGACGUGUCAGGCCCCUUCUCCACGUAGGUGGCCACUAAGUAUUUCCUUAUUCCUGGACUAGGAAAGAUCUGGAGGUUAUCAAUUGCCCCUUUACCUCCUCAGUAGUUAUUCCAUGACUGGUGAGGGGGUAAAUACUUAGACUCCAUUAAUGACCGUGUAGCUCAAGAACAGCUCUUAUCAAAACGUCUUUUACUUGCCUUAUUUCUUCAUCUCUUUACUUUGGUGUUUAAAUGUAAGGCGAUCUGGAGAUGUGUUCUUGAUGAUGAAUGAUAUUUCAUAUCGGCUCGUGCAUCAUCCUUAUUUUCUACUCAGGCUGUCUUCUGAUUUUGUCAAUUUUACUUACUUGAUGGACCAGGCUAUCUUCUGACUUUGUCAAUUUUACUUACUUGAUGGACCGGCUGGCUCUACUGGGACUUGGUUAGUCGAACUGACCCGGGCUAAGAGUUUGGAGUCUGGUUAAGCUUCUGACUUGCGAGUUUUUCUUACUCCCAUGAGGGCAUUUCUGUUUUUGACUCACUAUCUUGUCAUUGUUGCGAGCUCGGAUACAUAAUACCUAGAGAAAUGUCCUAUUUGUAUGAGUGCUCCACUUUAGAUGAUUUUAAAUCUUGUUCUUGUUACGAGCUCAGACCCGUACAUACGGACGUGUCAGACCCCUUCUCCAUGCCGGGCGGCCAUUUAAUUCUCCCUGUCACGCAUGCGAACAGGGUUGGUGAAUGACUGGGAUUGCUUCCCUCUUGGACCUGUGCUCGUAUCUGAUCUGAAUUGCUCUGGGCUGCUGGUUCCGAGCUUGUGAAAUCGGGCCGUCUUUCGAGCGUAUGGUCUGACGGGUUUUGGACUUGUAGCCUUUUUUUGGAUCCGUUCUUAUUUCUGGCCUAGGAAACCCAGGCGGUUAUCACUAUAUAUUUCCCUGUCAUGAAGUACCCAAAGUUAUAAAGUAUUCCCAAUCCUCAAUAAACAAGGGAUUUAAUAUGCUAUCAUGCCCAAUCACUCAAAAUAAUUUGCAAGUGUGCAUUACAAAUAUUUAAAAUAUUAUUGGAUUCAAGUUGAGAACCAUUCACAUCAAAUUGGAAAUAUACGCAGCAGUAGCAUUGCAAUCCUAGCAACCAAACGCAGGAGAGAAGCAAUCGAAGUGAACCAUGCAAACCAAGAAAAUUGUUGUUUUGGAUAAAAAAUCGAACAUUCACCUUACCAGUGAGCAGAGUGCAGCUAUCAGAUUCCAAACCAGAACUUGGGAACGGAAUUUAAACCAGAUCUUAAAUGGUAGAUCCCAAGGAUUUGGUGGUAAUCAAAUGAAUUCAAGAUAAAGCAAUGGAGCUUGAGGGUGUAAGGAAAACAAAAAGACUUUGGAUCUGGAGCAUUAGAGGACCCCUCUGUUUUAUCUGGCGCAUGAAAUAUCCCACCGAUGAUUUCUUAAAGUUUCCUAGUGGGCCCAUAUAACAACUUCCUCAAGGUGGGCCCUACAGCAGCUUCCUCUCUGCAGCCCCCUGCCUUAUUUUUCAACUGUUUACUUUGACAAGAAUAUGGAAAUCUCCUGAUCAAAUUUAAUAAUUAUUAGAUUAAGGGCCAAUUUUAUUAUAAUUUAGUCUGUAGUUAUUGCUGUUGUAUAAAAUUUUUGGAUGAAUGCUUUUGUUAUAUAUAAAAUUAUUAAUAAAAAUAUAUUUUUUAUUUUAUUAUCAAAAUCAAAUAUGAUUGUAGUAUAUCAUAUCAUUUAUUUUAUUAUAAAAAUAAACAUGUAUAAUUAUUAAUUAGCAGAUUAACUAUUAUUUUAUUCUUAAAAUAGAUAAGUUGAAAUUGAAUAAUGUAAGAAAAUAAAUAUGCAUAUAUAAAGAAGGAUAAAAUGGUAUUUUUAUUUUAAAUAUGCAUAUAUAUAAUGUGAAAAUAUUUUUUAAAAAAAUAUAUAUUUAUUUUUAUACAUAAUUAUUAGUUAAAAAGCUAAUAUUUAUAUGAAUAUAGUUUUUCCCCUAAUAUUUUAGAAUAUCGACACGGAUUAACCAUGUUUCCCUUAAAGAAUAUACAAGCUUGCUAUUCUACAUACAUUCUGAAUGAUACUGGUUUUCCUAAGACUUAGGAUAGAGUCUGAGAUUGUCUCCAGCUAUACACAAACUCUUACUAUGUAUACUUUUGUCCAAUCAAAAAGACGACUCCUCUUUCUGAUAAAAGAAGCAACCAGAAGGACCAUCGUUAGGCAACAAUGCUAAUCUCACUGGAUUUUCUGCCCCUUCUUCAACAGAUAGUAAGCCAUUGUUGUAGUUUAUGUCCGUUUUGACAAAGCCAGGGCAGACACAAUUGACGCGAAAACUUGGGAGCUUCUUGGCGAGGAUCCUUGUGUAAGCAUUCAUAGCAGCUUUUGAAAGUGCAUAGGCAGACAUAAAGCUAGGCCAGCCUUUGCUUUCUGGUGAACCUUCUUUAAAAUCUUCUAGAUACUUGCUCAAUACCUCAUCAAUUCUCUCUUCUGAAAGUUUGUCAGCAUCCCCCAAUACUUGUUUAGCCCAUUCAUUACACACGUACUGAAACAAAUUACAGGAAAACAUGUUACUGAGUUAGCUAUAAGAACCACAAUUUUAGCAGUAAUUAUCCAUGUUUAUCUGGAGAAGCUGAGCAACGACAAAACAAAUAUUGAUUCAGCAGGGAGUUUCUCAUUGAUGUAUUCUAGUAUUCAACAAGUGGAAAUGUACAAUAUACAUAAAUAUAUUUUCAAUUGCUUGAAUCAAACUUGAGAUGGUGUGUUUUGUGACAAAUGAGCUUGUAGCAAAAUGGGAUAUGAUUUUACCUUCAAGAUCCCCAGCGAGGACGAAACGUUAACAAUCCUCGGUGAAUCAGACAACUGAAGUAGGGGAAUAAAUUCCUCAACCAUUCUUUUAGCACCAUAAUAGUUUAUUUUCAGGCAUUCUUCGGCUAACUCAUAGUUUUGAGUUGUUUUUUUAUGCCAUUGCCAAUCGACAUUUGCAGCUUCCUGCAUCAAUGAAAGAUCGAAACUUAAUUAUCAUACUAGUUAUAUGCAUUUUACAGCCAAAAGUAGAGUUAAAAAAGCUAAUGUUCUUUUCCUGUUUAGCAAUCCAAACCCACAUCAAAUCAAAGAAAAUUUCUAUAUCAGUAAAAUUUGGUCUCAAAGCUGUCCACAAUUCAAUGGCAACAUGUACAGAUGUACUCAUAAAUUAUGAAAAGCACAACGAGUAACUUGAAUACUUAAGUAGCUCAAAAAGCAGAUAUGGGCAAUUAUCUAACAGGAGGUACCUUCAAAAUGAGAAGGAGAACAUGGCCUAUAUUAGAAAUUUACAGGAAACUCUAUAAUUAUCCAGCCAGUCAAAUAUCGCAUGAAGCAUUAAUUUGUCAGGGACUGUAUUAGAGAAAAUAAUUACAUAUAGUAUAAUGAUUAGAUAUUAACCACUGGUUAUAGUGAAAUCUACAUAGUACCUUCCAUGAAUAUAAUAAACAGUAAAAUUUCUCAUGUAUUAGGCAUUGAUCUCCACAUAAACCAUCAAUUAAAUUAACCCUCCUUUAGGCUUUGGCAAAUAUGUUCACUAAAGAAACUUACCUUACCAGACUCGGGUCUGAAAGUAGCAUCAUCAACUGCAAUUCCAUUAACACCAGCAUUAUUAACCUGCACAGAGGUGAAAGAUUUUUAAUAAUUCAACUUAUAGAAGCUCACUAUUAAAAACCCAGAUAAACAAAUGAGACAUACAGGAGUUCUUACUAUAAAAAAAAGAACGAGGUUCAUUUCAGUAAUUCAAUAGGAAAUGGAUUAAAAAUUUAAAAUCUCGUUAUAUUUUAUAUUUCGAGCCCCAAGAAUUCAAUUUGAUGUUUCCACAUCUCACCUCCUUAUGCCCGCUUCUUAUGUAGAGUCCCAUAUAUUGGAAAAGAACAAAGAAACAAAAAAAAAAUAUAUAAAGGGGAAGCCAAGCCAAACAGCUUAAAUCAUUUUGGUUGAGGCAUCUAAGCAAUAGUCAUCAGCCCUCUCAAACAGACAAUAUCCUUUGAUAUAUUUAUCUAUUUAUCCUUCAAAACCAGUUUGUAGACCUACUGAAAAUUUCACAAUAUAUUCUAACUUGAAGAAAUGGGAAUUAGGUUUUAGUGGUACCAGGAUAUCAAGCUUUCCAAAUUGAGUUUUGAUGAAAUUAGCAAAAGCAGCGAUACUGGCAUCGUCAGCCACAUCAAGCUGAUGAAACACAAUAAGCUCAGAGAGAGGGGAAUCUUUUAGUUUAUGAAGAGCUUCAAGGCCUCUCUUCUCAUCUCUGGCUGUUAAUACAACUAAAAUCCCAUGUGAAGCCAACUGCCUGCAUAUUUCAAAUCCAAUCCCCUUGUUUGCUCCUGUAACCACUGCAUACCUGAAAAUAAUAUAUAAUAAUAUUAAUACUAAUUUGUCACAACAAUACAAGAAGAAGCAGAAGCAGAUAAAGAAUAUUACUUGGUAUCUGAUGACCUCUUGACUGCUUCUGCCAUUGAUAAGAAUGAAAUCGAGCUUGAUGUAGUUCGGGUCGAGGCUUCUCUUUGUUGCUUGGUUCAGUCGUUUUUAACGUUCACUGGUAGGUCGCUUUCAAAUUUCACUAAGAAGUACGAACUCACUGCGCGAUCAUCCUAUUUGGGAAAUCCAAGAGAACACGCAUAUGAUGAGUGGAUUUAAAGCUGCAACGUAAUCAUAGAAAUCAUAUCGCCUAAAGAUCAA